AGCCUGCUUAGCUCAGAGGUUAGAGCAUCGCAUUUGUAA
RNAcentral lists this transfer RNA (39 nucleotides) under Gnetum hainanense. Its description in RNAcentral is "partial tRNA-Thr". The record is from RNAcentral. Lineage: Eukaryota; Viridiplantae; Streptophyta; Gnetopsida; Gnetales; Gnetaceae. RNAcentral also lists the same sequence under 1 other name.